AUCAAAUUGAAGGCACAUUUAUGUGCCUAUUUGGAAAUAAUAAAAAAGAAAUAUUUUCUUCAAACGAAAAACAUCUUGAGCUGCCAUGGCGACUGUACGAAUGAUAGAUAUAGCCGUCAAUUUCACUGAUAGCAUGUUCAAAGGGAUAUACAAUGGAAAACAAUAUCAUAUAGGGGACAUUCAAGCUGUGUUGAAAAGGGCAUGGAGUGCUGGAGUUGAACGAAUAAUAGUAACUGGUGGCUCUCUUGAAGAAUCAAAGGAAGCUCUUGCCAUUGCUGAAACAGAUGCAAGACUCUUCUGUACUGUGGGUGUGCACCCGACAAGAUGCAAAGAAUUUGAAGACAGUGGGGAUCCAGAAAAGCAUUUGCAGGAUCUUUUGACAUUGGCUAAAGAGGGAAAAGAAAAAGGAAAAGUGGUUGCAAUUGGCGAAUGUGGGUUGGACUAUGAUAGACUUCACUUUUGUCCAUCUGAUAUUCAGAAGAAGUACUUUGAAAAACAGUUUGAGUUAGCAUAUACGAUGAAACUGCCAAUGUUUCUUCACAUGCGAGCAGCUUCUCAGGAUUUUUGCGACAUUCUUCAACGAAAUAAGGAUCGGUUUGUUGCUGGUGUUGCACACUCUUUCACCGGAAGUGCUGAAGAUUGUGAUAGACUUCUUUCAUUUAGUAACAUUUUUAUAGGAAUAAAUGGUUGCUCUCUCAAGACAGCUGAGAACCUUGAAGUUGUAAAGGGUAUACCUGUUGAGCGAAUGAUGAUUGAGACAGAUUCACCAUACUGUGAUAUCAAGAAUACACAUGCUGGGAUAAGGUAUGUGAAAUCCUCGUGGCCUUCAAAGAAAAAGGAUAAGCAUGAUCAAGAAUGCCUUGUCAAAGGUCGCAAUGAGCCUUGCUUAGUUCGGCAAGUGCUUGAAGUUGUUGCUGGCACUAAAGGUAUCGCUGACAUAGACCAACUGAGCCAGACACUGUACCAUAAUACGUGCAGGUGAUGAUAAGGUUUCCUCUAUUUCACAUCUCUAUACUCGUACUGCAAGAAAGGAGAUGGCUUUUUUAAUACAGAAAGACAUGCUAAACAAUUGGAAAAUGAGGGUUAAUUUUCAUUUCCUAAGGCAAAACUUGGAUGCCUUUCAAGGGUUUUCUUUCCUCAUGAUUUGGAUUCUGCAGCUGAAGCCCUUCUUGCUAGUGGUAGGGAGGCUCUAUGAAGUUGUUGUACUCUGCUAGUCUUUAAUAGUGUAUGAGAAAACAAACAAUAAGUUUUUGGAUUAGUUUUAGUUUUUUUAAAAACAAAUGCUACUGUCAGUAGACAUUUAAAAUUAUAAAAUUUAUUUUUGUUUUGUUUGAGGAAAAAAAAAAGCUCUCAGGUUUAAGUUUGAGCAUUAGUUAUUGGAAUCGGUCGAAUCCGUAUCAGGACUUCUAGCUCCACUCUUGACAACAACAACGGAUCAUUUUCUUCAAGUUGUUUAUACUAAAGCUAAUUAUGAAGUGGCUCAUGCUUCUUUA
Molecule: RNA transcript, 1493 nt
Organism: Solanum dulcamara
Lineage: Eukaryota; Viridiplantae; Streptophyta; Magnoliopsida; Solanales; Solanaceae
Exons: 12
Source: RefSeq, a predicted model, not a curated record